CCCUCCGGGAGAGCUCAGCCA
This 21-nucleotide unclassified non-coding RNA is filed under the name Mus musculus (house mouse). RNAcentral's name for it is "oocyte_clustered_small_RNA12103". Lineage: Eukaryota; Metazoa; Chordata; Mammalia; Rodentia; Muridae. The record is from RNAcentral.